UACGUAGGGGGCAAGCGUUAUCCGGAUUUACUGGGUGUAAAGGGAGCGCAGACGGAACUGCAAGUCUGAUGUGAAAGCCCGGGGCUCAACCGCGGGACUGCAUCGGAUACUGUGGAUCUGGAGUGCCGGAGGGGCAAGCGGAAUUCCUGGUGUAGCGGUGAAAUGCGUAGAUAUCAGGAGGAACACCGGCGGCGAAGGCGGCUUGCUGGUCUGUAACUGACACUGAGGCGCGAAAGCGUGGGGAGCGAACAGGAUUAGAUA
This 261-nucleotide ribosomal RNA is filed under the name uncultured prokaryote. Its description in RNAcentral is "partial 16S ribosomal RNA". It matches the Rfam family "Bacterial small subunit ribosomal RNA", at positions 524 to 784 of the family's 1533-position model. The record is from RNAcentral.